This 492-nucleotide ribosomal RNA is filed under the name uncultured bacterium. Its description in RNAcentral is "partial 16S ribosomal RNA". It matches the Rfam family "Bacterial small subunit ribosomal RNA", at positions 29 to 507 of the family's 1533-position model. The record is from RNAcentral.
AGUGAACGCUGGCGGUAGGCCUAACACAUGCCAGUCGAACGGCAGCACAGUAAGAGCUUGCCCUUACGGGUGGCGAGUGGCGGACGGGUGAGGAAUACAUCGGAAUCUACUUUUUCGUGGGGGAUAACGUAGGGAAACUUACGCUAAUACCGCAUACGACCUACGGGUGAAAGCAGGGGAUCUUCGGACCUUGCGCGAUUGAAUGAGCCGAUGUCGGAUUAGCUAGUUGGCGGGGUAAAGGCCCACCAAGGCGACGAUCCGUAGCUGGUCUGAGAGGAUGAUCAGCCACACUGGAACUGAGACACGGUCCAGACUCCUACGGGAGGCAGCAGUGGGGAAUAUUAGACAAUGGGCGCAAGCCUGAUCCAGCCAUACCGCGUGGGUGAAGAAGGCCUUCGGGUUGUAAAGCCCUUUUGUUGGGAAAGAAAAGCAGCAGGUUAAUACCCCGCUGUUCUGACGGUACCCAAAGAAUAAGCACCGGCUAACUUCGUG